UUGAAAUGAAACUUGUGUUUCCCCUCUAAGCUUUGUGCUUUAUCUCUCUUUAACACUUGUGUGAGAUUCUUUGUGUUCUUGAGUGUUUGUUCAUUCUUGUGUGUGAGACUCACAUAAGUUUGAGCAUUGUACUGUAUCAGAGACUCACCAUCCCUCUGUGUCGUACAUUCGUUCCGCCAGCACUCCACCAAAUCGAUCCCACACGAGAGGGCGAUCGCCUGCGUGUCAAAUCACUCCAUCAUCGGCCAUCAUCUGACCAAAGGAGAGGACGACUGCCUGUCUUUGGUACCAUAUCUAUCAGCAUAAUAAGAGUCACCACCGAUUCUUAUAUCAUUUUGGUAUCCGAGCUAAAAGCUCCUACCCUGUAUAGUUUUUUUUCAUUUUUGUUUUGUUUUGUUUUGAUUCCAU
This 408-nucleotide long non-coding RNA is filed under the name Eutrema salsugineum. RNAcentral describes it as "long non-coding RNA (ESAL_LNC000516)". The record is from RNAcentral. Lineage: Eukaryota; Viridiplantae; Streptophyta; Magnoliopsida; Brassicales; Brassicaceae.